AUUGAACGCUGGCGGCAUGCUUUACACAUGCAAGUCGAACGGUAACAGGGAAAAGCUUGCUUUUCUGCUGACGAGUGGCGAACGGGUGAGUAAUACAUCGGAACGUGCCCUGUAGUGGGGGAUAACUACUCGAAAGAGUGGCUAAUACCGCAUACAACCUGAGGGUAAAAGUGGGGGACCGCAAGGCCUCACGCUAUAGGAGCGGCCGAUGGAAGAUUAGGUAGUUGGUAGGGUAAAGGCCUACCAAGCCGACGAUCUUUAGCGGGUCUGAGAGGACGAUCCGCCACACUGGGACUGAGACACGGCCCAGACUCCUACGGGAGGCAGCAGGUGGGGUAAUUUUGGACAAGUGGGGGCCAACCCUGAUCCAGCAAUGCCGCGUGAGUGAAGAAGGCCGUUCGGGUUGUAAAGCUUCUUUUGUUGGGAAGAAUCCUAAGAUAAUACCCGUUGGGGGAUGACGGUACCAAAAGAAUAAGCACCGGCUAACUACGUG
Molecule: ribosomal RNA, 493 nt
Filed under: uncultured bacterium
Lineage: Bacteria
Description: bacterial SSU rRNA
Rfam family: Bacterial small subunit ribosomal RNA
Source: RNAcentral